AACUUUUGACAACGGAUCACUUGGUUCUGGCAUCGAUGAAGAACGCAGCGAAAUGCGAUAAGUAAUGUGAAUUUCAGAAUUCAGUGAAUCAUCGAAUCUUUGAACGCACAUUGCGCCCCUUGGUAUUCCGAGGGGCAUGCCUGUUCGAGCGUCAUUUCAACCCUCAAGCACAGCUUGGUCUUGGGCUUCGCCGCUAACCCGGCGGGUCUUAAAAUCAGUGGCGGUGCGGUCGGGCCCUGAGCGUAGUACAUCUAUCUCUAGUGGGUCACUGUGGAUACUAGCCAGUAACACCCAAUUCUCUAUGGUUGACUUCGGAUCAGGUAGGGAUACCCGCUGAACUUAAGCAUAUCAAUAAUCGGAGGCU
Molecule: unclassified non-coding RNA, 364 nt
Filed under: uncultured Dermateaceae
Lineage: Eukaryota; Fungi; Ascomycota; Leotiomycetes; Helotiales; Dermateaceae
Description: sequence contains ITS2
Rfam family: 5.8S ribosomal RNA (bases 1-154)
Source: RNAcentral